UUUAAGCAUUCCGCAUGGGGAGUACGGUCGCAAGAUUAAAANUCAAAGGAAUUGACGGGGGCCCGCACAAGCGGUGGAGCAUGUGGUUUAAUUNGACGCAANGCGCAGAACCUUACCAGCCCUUGACAUGUCCAGGACCGGUCGCAGAGAUGUGACCUUCUCUUNGGAGCCUGGAACACAGGUGCUGCAUGGCNGUCGUCAGCUCGUGUCGUGAGAUGUUGGGUUAAGUCCCGCAACGAGCGCAACCCCCGUCCUUAGUUGCUACCAUUUAGUUGAGCACUCUAAGGAGACUGCCGGUGAUAAGCCGCGAGGAAGGUGGGGAUGACGUCAAGUCCUCAUGGCCCUUACGGGCUGGGCUACACACGUGCUACAGAUGGCGGUGACAUAUGGGAAGCGAAGACGCAAGUCCUAGCAAAUCUCUAAAAACCGUCUCAGUUCGGAUUGGGCUCUGCAANCUCGAGCCCAUGAAGCUGGAACUCGCUAGUAAUACGUGGAUCAGCACGC
This 504-nucleotide ribosomal RNA is filed under the name Bradyrhizobiaceae bacterium L393_CBm. RNAcentral's name for it is "bacterial SSU rRNA". It matches the Rfam family "Bacterial small subunit ribosomal RNA", at positions 859 to 1357 of the family's 1533-position model. Lineage: Bacteria; Pseudomonadati; Pseudomonadota; Alphaproteobacteria; Hyphomicrobiales; Nitrobacteraceae. The record is from RNAcentral.